Molecule: ribosomal RNA, 497 nt
Filed under: uncultured bacterium
Lineage: Bacteria
Description: partial 16S ribosomal RNA
Rfam family: Bacterial small subunit ribosomal RNA
Source: RNAcentral
GAUGAACGCUGGCGGCGUGCCUAAUACAUGCAAGUCGAGCGAACAGACGAGGAGCUUGCUCCUCUGACGUUAGCGGCGGACGGGUGAGUAACACGUGGAUAACCUACCUAUAAGACUGGGAUAACUUCGGGAAACCGGAGCUAAUACCGGAUAAUAUAUUGAACCGCAUGGUUCAAUAGUGAAAUACGGUUUUGCUGUCACUUAUAGAUGGAUCCGCGCCGCCUUAGCUAGUUGGUAAGGUAACGGCUUACCAAGGCAACGAUGCGUAGCCGACCUGAGAGGGUGAUCGGCCACACUGGAACUGAGACACGGUCCAGACUCCUACGGGAGGCAGCAGUAGGGAAUCUUCCGCAAUGGGCGAAAGCCUGACGGAGCAACGCCGCGUGAGUGAUGAAGGUCUUCGGAUCGUAAAACUCUGUUAUUAGGGAAGAACAAAUGUGUAAGUAACUAUGCACGUCUUGACGGUACCUAAUCAGAAAGCCACGGCUAACUACGUG